This 749-nucleotide ribosomal RNA is filed under the name uncultured Lachnospiraceae bacterium. RNAcentral describes it as "bacterial SSU rRNA". It matches the Rfam family "Bacterial small subunit ribosomal RNA", at positions 28 to 776 of the family's 1533-position model. The record is from RNAcentral. Lineage: Bacteria; Bacillati; Bacillota; Clostridia; Lachnospirales; Lachnospiraceae.
GAUGAACGCUGGCGGCGUGCCUAACACAUGCAAGUCGAACGGAGAUUAUUGACGGAAGUUUUCGGAUGGAAGACGGUAAUCUUAGUGGCGGACGGGUGAGUAACGCGUGGGUAACCUGCCCCGUACAGGGGGAUAGCGUCGGGAAACUGACGGUAAGACCGCAUAGGACCACAUAUUCGCAUGGAUAAGUGGUGAAAAGGGAAACCUGGUAUGGGAUGGACCCGCGUCCGAUUAGCCAGUUGGCAGGGUAAAGGCCUACCAAAGCUUCGAUCGGUAGCCGGACUGAGAGGUCGGACGGCCACAUUGGGACUGAGACACGGCCCAGACUCCUACGGGAGGCAGCAGUGGGGGAUAUUGCACAAUGGAGGAAACUCUGAUGCAGCGACGCCGCGUGAGUGAAGAAGUGCUCCGGCAUGUAAAGCUCUUUCAGCAGGGAAGAUGAUGACGGUACCUGAAUAAGAAGCCCCGGCUAACUACGUGCCAGCAGCCGCGGUAAUACGUAGGGGGCAAGCGUUAUCCGGAUUUACUGGGUGUAAAGGGAGCGCAGGCGGUCUGGCAAGUUGAGAGUGGAAGCAGGGGGCUCAACCCCCUGACUGCUCCCAAAACUGUUGGACUGGAGUAUGGGAGAGGCAGGCGGAAUUCCUAGUGUAGCGGUGAAAUGCUCAGAUAUUAGGAAGAACACCGGUGGCGAAGGCGGCCUGCUGGACCAAAACUGACGCUGAGGCUCGAGAGCGUGGGGAGCGAACAGG